This 74-nucleotide transfer RNA is filed under the name Algisphaera agarilytica. It matches the Rfam family "tRNA". From Rfam's summary of the family: Transfer RNA (tRNA) molecules are approximately 80 nucleotides in length. Their secondary structure includes four short double-helical elements and three loops (D, anti-codon, and T loops). Further hydrogen bonds mediate the characteristic L-shaped molecular structure. tRNAs have two regions of fundamental functional importance: the anti-codon, which is responsible for specific mRNA codon recognition, and the 3' end, to which the tRNAs corresponding amino acid is attached (by aminoacyl-tRNA synthetases). tRNAs cope with the degeneracy of the genetic code in two manners: having more than one tRNA (with a specific anti-codon) for a particular amino acid; and 'wobble' base-pairing, i.e. permitting non-standard base-pairing at the 3rd anti-codon position. The record is from Rfam by way of RNAcentral. Lineage: Bacteria; Pseudomonadati; Planctomycetota; Phycisphaerae; Phycisphaerales; Phycisphaeraceae.
GCUGUCGUAGCUCAGUUGGACAGAGCGCUUCCCUGUCAAGGAAGAGGUCGCGGGUUCGAUCCCCGCCGAUGGCG